This is a long non-coding RNA of Rhagoletis pomonella (apple maggot), 1385 nucleotides long. RefSeq lists it as uncharacterized. The record is from RefSeq and is a predicted model, not a curated record. The transcript is spliced from 6 exons. Lineage: Eukaryota; Metazoa; Arthropoda; Insecta; Diptera; Tephritidae.
UUCAACAGAUUUACACACACACUCGCAACUUUUUAGCUAUGCUACCCACACAUUUACAAAUUUAUUUUUCCGACUGUUAAAACAAAAUUCUGAGUGAGAGAACCGGACCUAAUAAAAAUUUUUACUGUAAUAAGAAUUUUAUGCGUUAGAGCGAGUAAGUGGAAAUGAAGCAAAAUUUGACAGCUUUGAUCACAGAGGCUGUGACUUUAGCAAAAGUUUGACAUCUUUGAUCACAGUAGGCUGUAAAUAAAAGCGUUAAUUUUGCAAAAACAUUUGAAGAUUGCCGAAACAUUGCGAUUUAAUCAUAUAAUUAAGUCAGGCUCCACACCAGCAUAUCCACCACCUUCAACGCCGCCACCAAUAAACAGCGCUGCAUACAUUAUUCGGUAAGUUUUCAUGCGACGAAUAAACGUUGCUUCUGCUGCAACUGCCUACAUUAAUCAUGUUCCUGGUGCUUCCCGAUUUGCACAUUUCAAAAGAAAAGCUGUUUUUGCAAUUAAUAAACCUUAUGGCGUACAGAAACAGCUUCCUCUAAAAACCUGCGAAGCGUGAAGUACCUGGAACAGGCUUAUUUAGUGCGUUCCAGAACGUCUACGAUUUGCAGGUUUUGCAGGAUUUAGUCCAAAGUCGUUCCCGUACGCCACGUUCACAUAAGGCUUAUUAAAGGCAAAAACAGCUGUUCCGGAAAACCUGCAAAUCCUGCAAAUCGUGAAGUACGGGAACAGGCUAAUUAUGUGCAAAUGUAAACAACAAAAGAAAGUGCAGUGUUUACAUAUGUAAAAAGUGUAGUAGGACUGGUGAAUGCGGUCAUUCUGGAAGCCAUAGUUUACAAAGUGUAGUGCACAGUUCAACAACAGUGAUUGGGUUUGCUACUUCAUAGCAGCAGUGGAAAUGGAAACAUUGCUCUGCUAUUGCUACUUCUCUACUUGAAUAGAUAAGAAGCACGGCCAGAAUCGGAAAACACACGAGGACCUUCCUUGUUUUACUUGGUUCUAUGUUUCGUUGAGGCACAGAUCAGGUAGGAGAACUAAAAUAUGAACGAAGUGAUAUUUGUAGUCAGAGUAAUAGCACAUACAACAAUAUUAUGAUAGCCUCAACGAAACAUAGCACUAAUUAAAACAAGAAAGGCCUUCUUGUGUUUCCCGAUUCUGACACUGCUUCUCAUCUAUUCAAGUAGAGAAGUUGCAAUAGCAGAUCCACGUUUCCGUGCCACUGCUGCUAUGAAGUAGUGAACUCAACCACUGGUAGUUGUCAUAAUUCGCAGUAGUAACAGUUUAACAUGAAGCAAUGGAUUUGUCACCACUGUUCCUGGGAGAUACCGAAGCCCUCUCUCCACCACGCACGAGCAACACAGAUGUAGCCCUACAUAGAAAGCGCUUUCAUGU